RNAcentral lists this ribosomal RNA (253 nucleotides) under uncultured bacterium. RNAcentral describes it as "partial 16S ribosomal RNA". It matches the Rfam family "Bacterial small subunit ribosomal RNA", at positions 524 to 776 of the family's 1533-position model. The record is from RNAcentral.
GCCGGGGGAUGCAAUCGUUAUCCGGAAUCACUGGGCGUAAAGCGUGUGUAGGUGGUGAUGCAAGUCACUGGUGCAAAACUCUGGCUCAACCGGAGGACAGCUUGUGAAACUAUUAGACUAGAGUGCUGGAGAGGUAGAAAGAAUUCCUAGAGUAGAGGUGAAAUGCGCAGAUACUGGGAAGAACACCGGAGGCGAAAGCGUCCAACUGGACAACAACUGACACUGAGACACGAAAGCUAGGGGAGAUAAUUGG